This 429-nucleotide ribosomal RNA is filed under the name uncultured Leptospirillum sp. RNAcentral describes it as "bacterial SSU rRNA". It matches the Rfam family "Bacterial small subunit ribosomal RNA", at positions 355 to 776 of the family's 1533-position model. The record is from RNAcentral. Lineage: Bacteria; Pseudomonadati; Nitrospirota; Nitrospiria; Nitrospirales; Nitrospiraceae.
UGAGGAAUAUUGCGCAAUGGGGGAAACCCUGACGCAGCAACGCCGCGUGUGGGAAGAAGGCCUUCGGGUCGUAAACCACUUUUACUCGGGACGAAAAAGGGAUGUCAAAUAAACAUCCCCGAUGACGGUACCGUGAGAAUAAGCCACGGCUAACUCUGUGCCAGCAGCCGCGGUAAGACAGAGGUGGCAAGCGUUGUUCGGAAUUACUGGGCGUAAAGAGUCUGUAGGUGGUUUGUCAAGUCUUUGGUGAAAGGCCGUAGCUUAACUAUGGGAAUGCCAAAGAGACUGGCAGGCUGGAGGCUGGGAGAGGGAAGCGGAAUUUCUGGUGUAGCGGUGAAAUGCGUAGAUAUCAGAAGGAAGGCCGGUGGCGAAGGCGGCUUCCUGGAACAGUCCUGACACUGAGAGACGAAAGCGUGGGGAGCAAACAGG